RNAcentral lists this ribosomal RNA (305 nucleotides) under uncultured bacterium. RNAcentral's name for it is "bacterial SSU rRNA". It matches the Rfam family "Bacterial small subunit ribosomal RNA", at positions 338 to 657 of the family's 1533-position model. The record is from RNAcentral.
CCUACGGGGCGCAGCAGUGGGGGAUAUUGGACAAUGGGGGGAACCCUGAUCCAGCGACGCCGCGUGAGUGAAGAAGUAUCUCGGUAUGUAAAGCUCUAUCAGCAGGGAAGAAAGAAAUGACGGUACCUGAGUAAGAAGCCCCGGCUAACUACGUGCCAGCAGCCGCGGUAAUACGUAGGGGGCAAGCGUUAUCCGGAAUUACUGGGUGUAAAGGGAGCGUAGACGGUGAAGUAAGUCUGGAGUGAAAGGCGGGGGCCCAACCCCCGGACUGCUCUGGAAACUAUUUGACUGGAGUGCAGGAGAGG